AAAUACCGGAUAAGAAAGCAGAUCGCAUGAUCAGCUUAUAAAAGGCGGCGUAAGCUGUCGCUAUGGGAUAGCCCCGCGGUGCAUUAGCUAGUUGGUAGGGUAACGGCCUACCAAGGCAAUGAUGCAUAGCCGAGUUGAGAGACUGAUCGGCCACAUUGGGACUGAGACACGGCCCAAACUCCUACGGGAGGCAGCAGUAGGGAAUCUUCCACAAUGGACGAAAGUCUGAUGGAGCAACGCCGCGUGAGUGAAGAAGGUUUUCGGAUCGUAAAGCUCUGUUGUUGGUGAAGAAGGAUAGAGGUAGUAACUGGCCUUUAUUUGACGGUAAUCAACCAGAAAGUCACGGCUAACUACGUGCCAGCAGCCGCGGUAAUACGUAGGUGGCAAGCGUUGUCCGGAUUUAUUGGGCGUAAAGCGAGCGCAGGCGGAAGAAUAAGUCUGAUGUGAAAGCCCUCGGCUUAACCGAGGAACUGCAUCGGAAACUGUUUUUCGUGAGUGCAGAAGAGGAGAGUGGAACUCCAUGUGUAGCGGUGGAAUGCGUAGAUAUAUGGAAGAACACCAGUGGCGAAGGCGGCUCUCUGGUCUGCAACUGACGCUGAGGCUCGAAAGCAUGGGUAGCGAACAGGAUUAGAUACCCUGGUAGUCCAUGCCGUAAACGAUGAGUGCUAAGUGUUGGGAGGUUUCCGCCUCUCAGUGCUGCAGCUAACGCAUUAAGCACUCCGCCUGGGGAGUACGACCGCAAGGUUGAAACUCAAAGGAAUUGACGGGGGCCCGCACAAGCGGUGGAGCAUGUGGUUUAAUUCGAAGCAACGCGAAGAACCUUACCAGGUCUUGACAUCUAGUGCAAUCCGUAGAGAUACGGAGUUCCCUUCGGGGACACUAAGACAGGUGGUGCAUGGCUGUCGUCAGCUCGUGUCGUGAGAUGUUGGGUUAAGUCCCGCAACGAGCGCAACCCUUGUCAUUAGUUGCCAGCAUUAAGUUUGGCACUCUAAUGAGACUGCCGGUGACAAACCGGAGGAAGGUGGGGAUGACGUCAAGUCAUCAUGCCCCUUAUGACCUGGGCUACACACGUGCUACAAUGGACAGUACAACGAGGAGCAAGCCUGCGAAGGCAAGCGAAACUCUUAAAGCUGUUCUCAGUUCGGACUGCAGUCUGCAACUCGACUGCACGAAGCUGGAAUCGC
RNAcentral lists this ribosomal RNA (1184 nucleotides) under Lactobacillus acidophilus. RNAcentral's name for it is "bacterial SSU rRNA". It matches the Rfam family "Bacterial small subunit ribosomal RNA", at positions 164 to 1335 of the family's 1533-position model. Lineage: Bacteria; Bacillati; Bacillota; Bacilli; Lactobacillales; Lactobacillaceae. The record is from RNAcentral.